RNAcentral lists this ribosomal RNA (425 nucleotides) under uncultured bacterium. RNAcentral describes it as "bacterial SSU rRNA". It matches the Rfam family "Bacterial small subunit ribosomal RNA", at positions 354 to 796 of the family's 1533-position model. The record is from RNAcentral.
GUGGGGAAUAUUGGACAAUGGGCGCAAGCCUGAUCCAGCCAUGCCGCGUGUGUGAUGAAGGCCUUAGGGUUGUAAAGCACUUUCACCGAUGAAGAUAAUGACGGUAGUCGGAGAAGAAGCCCCGGCUAACUUCGUGCCAGCAGCCGCGGUAAUACGAAGGGGGCUAGCGUUGUUCGGAAUCACUGGGCGUAAAGCGCACGUAGGCGGAUUGUUAAGUGAGGGGUGAAAUCCCAGGGCUCAACCCUGGAACUGCCUUUCAUACUGGCAAUCUCGAGUUCGAGAGAGGUAAGUGGAAUUCCGAGUGUAGAGGUGAAAUUCGUAGAUAUUCGGAGGAACACCAGUGGCGAAGGCGGCUUACUGGAUCGAUACUGACGCUGAGGUGCGAAAGCGUGGGGAGCAAACAGGAUUAGAAACCCCAGUAGUCC